UCACAGAUGAAAUGAGGACUGCCUUUACC
Molecule: non-coding RNA, 29 nt
Filed under: Rattus norvegicus (Norway rat)
Lineage: Eukaryota; Metazoa; Chordata; Mammalia; Rodentia; Muridae
Source: RNAcentral